This 207-nucleotide ribosomal RNA is filed under the name uncultured bacterium. Its description in RNAcentral is "partial 16S ribosomal RNA". It matches the Rfam family "Bacterial small subunit ribosomal RNA", at positions 568 to 774 of the family's 1533-position model. The record is from RNAcentral.
UACGUAGGCGGUUUAUUAAGUCAGAUGUGAAAGCCCCGGGCUUAACCUGGGAACUGCAUUUGAUACUGGUAAACUAGAGUAUGGUAGAGGGGGGUAGAAUUCCUAGUGUAGCGGUGAAAUGCGUAGAUAUUAGGAGGAAUACCAGUGGCGAAGGCGGCCCCCUGGACCAAUACCGACGCUGAGGUACGAAAGCGUGGGUAGCGAACA